This 497-nucleotide ribosomal RNA is filed under the name uncultured bacterium. RNAcentral's name for it is "partial 16S ribosomal RNA". It matches the Rfam family "Bacterial small subunit ribosomal RNA", at positions 28 to 507 of the family's 1533-position model. The record is from RNAcentral.
GAUGAACGCUGGCGGCGUGCCUAAUACAUGCAAGUCGAGCGAACAGAUGAGGAGCUUGCUCCUCUGACGUUAGCGGCGGACGGGUGAGUAACACGUGGAUAACCUACCUAUAAGACUGGGAUAACUUCGGGAAACCGGAGCUAAUACCGGAUAAUAUAUUGAACCGCAUGGUUCAAUAGUGAAAGACGGUUUUGCUGUCACUUAUAGAUGGAUCCGCGCCGCAUUAGCUAGUUGGUAAGGUAACGGCUUACCAAGGCAACGAUGCGUAGGCGACCUGAGAGGGUGAUCGGCCACACUGGAACUGAGACACGGUCCAGACUCCUACGGGAGGCAGCAGUAGGGAAUCUUCCGCAAUGGGCGAAAGCCUGACGGAGCAACGCCGCGUGAGUGAUGAAGGUCUUCGGAUCGUAAAACUCUGUUAUUAGGGAAGAACAAAUGUGUAAGUAACUAUGCACGUCUUGACGGUACCUAAUCAGAAAGCCACGGCUAACUACGUG